UUUGUUGAAAAUGACCAGAAAAGGGAAAAUUGAACUGAUACCAAGAUUCCCUAAUCUCCCUGUUCUGUUGAAUUUAUAGCUGUGCUCAUGUUGGUUUAUUAUUUAAAUUUUAUUUUCUUAAAAGCAAUUGUAUCAUGGAGCUAGAAUGGCACAUGAAAUGUAGUCCAAGGUAAAUUAAAAGUACUUAAAUUCAAUCGUUAUCAUCUGAUUAUAACUAAGUGCAUUAGACAGCUCAGUAUCCUUGCAAACAGUAUAUUAAGAUGAUCAGUCUUCAGCACUGUUCACUUCAUCUUGCUGCUAUUAUGAAUCACUUUUAUAAGAAAAUGAGCUCUUGAUUUCUAGGUACAGAGGGGAAAAAAAAAAAAAAGGAGUUGUCAGUGCCAUUAUAGCAAGGCACCUCUUGCUUGAUUUCUCCACUGGAUUGAUGGCUGCUGCUACAAGGUGGAAUAAUGAAGCAUUACCAUGACCUCUGAGAAGGGAAUCAUUUUAAUAAAAAUUUCAGUAGAUGUUGCCCCCUCUUUACCGGAGAAGUCUGCAGUAAACGAGAGUGUUAUGUGGGGGAGCAUGGCACUUGAUCCCGUAAUGGUUUGGCAGAAGGAGAUUAGAAUCACCACAGAGCUGCACAGGUCAUCUCAGUUUCUUUCUGACCCUUGCUUUUCAAGCACAUGAGCUUUCAAGGAAGAGAGGAUUCGAUUCUUCAGCCAUAUUUUCAGUCUCAGGAGCUAUUCAUGUGGUACCGAGGCAUAAUUCACUUUGAGACACUCAUCUUGAAAGAAAUGUGAGUGUUUAAAGUAUCAGAAAACCAACCAAUUGUAUAAAAUUGUGGAAAGAUUUCAACCCAAGAGGUUUGUUAUGAGAGUUUAUUUGUGGAGCACAAGAACUGGAGUCCAGAGAAUCCUUUGGCUCCUGGAGUCCAGAGAAGAGAUUUUAAUGAAAAGUGAUCAGGGAAAAGUACCUAAUACAUUCUAUCAAGGUUCCUCUUGUUUCCUUGUCUUUCAGUUUAAACCACAAGGUACUCUUACAGGUCUCAGUAUUGCAUCAAGUUUUGAUGUCAGCUCAAGAUAUCCAUCUAUUCCAGAUGUAAAACAGUUUAACCUGGAGACCAAUGAUGGACUUAAAUUUAGAACAUAGAAGUCAACUAAAGGUAUGUAGUAGGUAUGUAAAGUGUGGUUUACAUAAAGAUAUUUACAUACGUGUUUACAUAAAGGUAUCUAAAGGUAGGUAUGUAGUGGUUGUAAUGGAGACUACAGGAACAGUCCACAAAAGAUUAAUUGCAGAAGACUUAAUGCAUUUGAGAGAAAUAAUCAGAUGUUAAUUACAGUGCUAUUCCUCAAAAAAAAAAAAAAAAAAUUGUUCAUGUCUUCUUUGUUUUAAUAUGCAGGGGUCUGCCAUUUGAAGGCUUUCAUAUGGAACAUGAUUGCGUCAAAGAAAUGCUAAGUUAAAAAUUACUCAAUGCAUUUGUUGUAAAAAUGGUAUCACGAAGGAUUUUAUUGGUUAAGGAAGGAAUAUAUUUGGAUAUAUGUAUAUAUGUACAUAUGUAUCCCUCUUAUUGAAGGGGUUCUGAAUUGCAGCGUGGAAUACUCUAGUAGUACCCUGUAGUGUACACUUAUCAGAAUGCACUGACUUAUAACUGUUUUCAGCAACUUUUCAUGAUCUCACCUACUGUUCACCUCAAGUAUUUAGACACUUAAUAUCUGUAAUGAAAAAAAAGGUUAUUUUAUAAAAAAAUUAAUUAUGAUACAGUUUUCUGAUCCUGCAUUUUCACACACCUUUGGAGUUUUACAUUAUACCAUAACAAUUUAUGCAUUUAGAAG
Long non-coding RNA from Gallus gallus (chicken), 1814 nucleotides. RefSeq lists it as uncharacterized. The transcript has 7 exons. NCBI's taxonomy places the organism in Eukaryota, Metazoa, Chordata, Aves, Galliformes, Phasianidae. The record is from RefSeq and is a predicted model, not a curated record.